This 497-nucleotide ribosomal RNA is filed under the name uncultured bacterium. RNAcentral describes it as "partial 16S ribosomal RNA". It matches the Rfam family "Bacterial small subunit ribosomal RNA", at positions 28 to 507 of the family's 1533-position model. The record is from RNAcentral.
GAUGAACGCUUGCGGCGUGCCUAAUACAUGCAAGUCGAGCGAACAGACGAGGAGCUUGCUCCUCUGACGUUAGCGGCGGACGGGUUAGUAACACGUGUAUAACCUACCUAUAAUACUGGGAUAACUUCGGGAAGCCGGAGCUAAUACCCGAUAAUAUCUUUAACCGCAUGGUUCAUUCGUGAAAGACGGUUUUGCUUUCAUUUAUAGAUGUAUCCGCGCCGCAUUAUCUAGUUGGUAAGGUGACGGCUUACCAAGUCAACGAUGCGUAGUCGACCUGAGAGGGUGAUCGGCCACACGGGAACUGAGACACGGUCCAGAUUCCUGCGGGAGGCAGCAGGAGGGAAUCUUCCGCAAUGGGCGAAAGCCUGGCGGAGCAACGCGGCGUAAGUGAUGAAGGUAUUCGGAUCGUAAAACUCUGUUAUUAGGGAAGAACAAAUGUGUAAGUAACUAUGCACGUCUUGACGGUACAUAAGCAGAAAGCCACGGAUAACUACGUG